AAUCCAUAGGUUAAUGAGGCGAACCGGGGGAACUGAAACAUCUAAGUACCCCGAGGAAAAGAAAUCAACCGAGAUUCCCCCAGUAGCGGCGAGCGAACGGGGAGGAGCCCAGAGCCUGAAUCAGCAUGUGUGUUAGUGGAAGCGUCUGGAAAGGCGCGCGAUACAGGGUGACAGCCCCGUACACAAAAGCGCAUGUGCUGUGAGCUCGAUGAGUAGGGCGGGACACGUGGUAUCCUGUCUGAAUAUGGGGGGACCAUCCUCCAAGGCUAAAUACUCCUGACUGACCGAUAGUGAACCAGUACCGUGAGGGAAAGGCGAAAAGAACCCCGGCGAGGGGAGUGAAAAAGAACCUGAAACCGUGUACGUACAAGCAGUGGGAGCCCCACCACCAAAGCAUUCUCUGGUGUUGAAGGCCCUGCAAAGCAGCAUCGCGGUGGCGGAGCGUCGUUUGCGACGCCCAACACACAAAACAAGCGGUGAGUGCUUUGGGGUGGGGUGACUGCGUACCUUUUGUAUAAUGGGUCAGCGACUUAUAUUCUGUAGCAAGGUUAACCGAAUAGGGGAGCCGGAGGGAAACCGAGUCUUAACCGGGCGUUAAGUUGCAGGGUAUAGACCCGAAACCCGGUGAUCUAGCCAUGGGCAGGUUGAAGGUUGGGUAACACUAACUGGAGGACCGAACCGACUAAUGUUGAAAAAUUAGCGGAUGACCUGUGGCUGGGGGUGAAAGGCCAAUCAAACCGGGAGAUAGCUGGUUCUCCCCGAAAGCUAUUUAGGUAGCGCCUCGUGAAUUCAUCUCCGGGGGUAGAGCACUGUUUCGGCUAGGGGGCCAUCCCGGCUUACCAACCCGAUGCAAACUGCGAAUACCGGAGAAUGUUAUCACGGGAGACACACGGCGGGUGCUAACGUCCGUCGUGAAGAGGGAAACAACCCAGACCGCCAGCUAAGGUCCCAAAGUCAUGGUUAAGUGGGAAACGAUGUGGGAAGGCCCAGACAGCCAGGAUGUUGGCUUAGAAGCAGCCAUCAUUUAAAGAAAGCGUAAUAGCUCACUGGUCGAGUCGGCCUGCGCGGAAGAUGUAACGGGGCUAAACCAUGCACCGAAGCUGCGGCAGCGACACUCAGGUGUUGUUGGGUAGGGGAGCGUUCUGUAAGCCUGUGAAGGUGGCCUGUGAGGGUUGCUGGAGGUAUCAGAAGUGCGAAUGCUGACAUAAGUAACGAUAAAGCGGGUGAAAAGCCCGCUCGCCGGAAGACCAAGGGUUCCUGUCCAACGUUAAUCGGGGCAGGGUGAGUCGACCCCUAAGGCGAGGCCGAAAGGCGUAGUCGAUGGGAAACGGGUUAAUAUUCCCGUACUUGGUGUUACUGCGAAGGGGGGACGGAGAAGGCUAUGUUGGCCGGGCGACGGUUGUCCCGGUUUAAGCGUGUAGGUGUGUGUUCCAGGUAAAUCCGGUUCACUUUAACACUGAG
RNAcentral lists this ribosomal RNA (1461 nucleotides) under Salmonella enterica subsp. enterica serovar Virchow. Its description in RNAcentral is "partial 23S ribosomal RNA". It matches the Rfam family "Bacterial large subunit ribosomal RNA", at positions 161 to 1560 of the family's 2925-position model. The record is from RNAcentral. Lineage: Bacteria; Pseudomonadati; Pseudomonadota; Gammaproteobacteria; Enterobacterales; Enterobacteriaceae.